Molecule: transfer RNA, 74 nt
Filed under: Paramuricea clavata
Lineage: Eukaryota; Metazoa; Cnidaria; Anthozoa; Malacalcyonacea; Plexauridae
Rfam family: tRNA
About the family: Transfer RNA (tRNA) molecules are approximately 80 nucleotides in length.
Source: Rfam by way of RNAcentral
ACUCCCGUGGCGCAAUGGAUUAGCGCGUUGGACUUCUAAUUCAAGGGUUGUGGGUUCGAGUCCCAUCGUGAUUG